GUUUAAUCAUGUUCCAUCUCUUAUUCCAAUGCCUAUAAUUUUAUCUUAUACGGGAAGAAAAAAACAUUAAUGAAGUGAUGAUGAACACCCUAAUAGUUAGCAAGCACUAUUUUAAUGGCAGUCAUUGUGUAUAAUAGAGGGUGUUGUUGGAAAGCUGCUGACUGUGAACAACAUUUAAUUAGAAAUGUAGCCCUGGAGCAGGAGGUGAACCUGUGCUCUUAAUUGCCUCUGUUGGUGGCUAUACCCUAGAGCACAUUAGGGCUGGGGGUUUCUGGGGCAGCUGGGGCAUGGUGAGAACCUGUGGGUGAGAGGCUCUGCUGCUUUGGGCCAAGCUAAUCCUCCAGCUGAAGCCUGUUGAGCCAAGGAACCCAGCCAGCCUCACUCGUUUGGUGUGAUCUCUGGCUGCUUGAAUGCUGUUCACCCAGUUACACUUCUCUGGUACUAUGAUCAGACACCAGGAGCAGCACACACACAUGAGUUCAGAAGUUCCUGCACAAGCAAGGUCAGAAUGAUGGACGCCUUUGAAAACAGGAUCAGUAAACAGCCUAUUGCUGACUGCAGACAUGAUGUUUAUGAUAUGAAAGAGGAGGAUGAACAGUGUCCAUAUGACAUAAAUCUACUGAGACACAAAUCUUCGUGUCAGAAAAACAAAGGAGCAUCACUGCUGUCAUCUUUCUUCCUACCUAAGCACAUGCAAUGGGGUUUUUGCUUAAAAAAAUAAAAAUUAAAAAAAAGGCUG
This 739-nucleotide long non-coding RNA is filed under the name Anser brachyrhynchus (Pink-footed goose). RNAcentral describes it as "lncRNA (ENSABRG00000001983.1)". Lineage: Eukaryota; Metazoa; Chordata; Aves; Anseriformes; Anatidae. The record is from RNAcentral.